CUGAGAGCUCACACCCUUGUACAAACAUUACAAGACCUGUAAUAAGAAGAUUAAGCUGAGGAUGUUGGAAAAAAAAGAAAGGAAGGGAGAAUUAUUGAGUUAAAGCUGCAUGUGCAUACAUAGGAGACAGAGAGAGUGAGGGAGAGUAAUUUCCUGCGCUUGUAAGGAGGGCAUGGAGGUCUCUGGGGUGAGAGCAGUUUUGCAGUGUAGGGGAAAACAGUACAUGCCUCCAAGGAAUAUUUGCACUCAGCUCUCCUGGAGGAGCAGCCCUCGUGGGGAGUGGAUGCCACCAUAAACCUAAAGAAAGGAAGCUAUCUGUAACCCAGAAAAUAUAGGGAAAUAUUUUCCAUGCCACUCUGGGAGACCAGGAAGUUAUUUUUGGUCUCUGUAGCGCAUUGAGUGUAGUUGAGAGCCUGUGCAACAACAGCAGAGUUUUCAGCAGCUCCCAUUGUAUUUACUCCUACUGACCUUAUUACUAAUAGGUGCAAAAUGUGAAUUAUAACAGCAAAGAUGUAAUCGGAGAGGCUUGGAGACAGCUUGUCUGCUAGAGAUGAUCAGUUGUCAUGACAGAUGCUCUCACAUUGCUCCUUUUGAAGUGGAAUGUCAGGUAAAACAAGGACUUUGCUGCUUCUGUUGACUUCAGUAUAAUUUAGGGGAUAAAUGACUUCACCAGUUCCCUGGAUGUGGGAGGAGAGGACGCUUUUAUGAUUAUGAAGGAUAGAGAAAGUCAUGUUAUUGUGCUCCUGGUGAAAUGCAUUGAUAUUCUGAACAGCACACAGGCCAGGAGACUAAAUGUCAUUAUUAGCUAGUGUUUAUUAAGUCAUCACACAAGGCAGGGAUGCACCAGAGGCAAAGGAUCCAGAUCUUUCCUGAUUUACACCAGUUUAAACAACCUUGGUGGUGCUACACUCAUUCACACCAGCUCAGACUCUCUCCCAGAGUUUCCAUGAGGGGUAGCACCAGGGGCUUAAACCUUAUAGAUACUAUUUCAGCUCCUUCUUGGCUGAUAUGAUCAUGCUGGUUUUGCAGGGCAAAAAGCUGGAGCCUAUGUGAGUAACUACACAAAACUAAUGUCUUCUCUGUGUUGAGUAGCCUGGCCAAACGAGCAAGGACUGAGUGACUUCCUUUCCUAUAAAUGGGCCAGGGGAAAAAGAUCUGGUGCUCAGCAACAUGUGGUUUAUUACUGAUAGAGAACCAGUAUAUCAGUGCAGCCCUCCCAGUUGAGGAUGUAAUGGAGAGCUUGGCCAGGCAGAGAUUUUGCAGAGGGCUUCUGAACAGCUUGGAGACACAGACGUCUUCCAGGUCCCUCUGCCAGCCCCUUAUGCUGGUGAAAAUAGUCAGGGCUAUGAUCUGGGAAUGUGCUAGAGGAGGAAGUGAGUCUCUGGAAUUUUCAUGAGCUGAUCCUUUUCUUUCAUUCUCCUGUUUUGUCUCUGCUGUGAAAGCCUCUUUGAGACAGGGACUGCCACCGGCUGCGGGGCUGUACAGCAGGUAAGGGAAUGGUGGCAGUCUCGCCUCUGGAGACAGCUGAGGACGACGGUCUGAGCUUUAGUAGAAGGGAUGGAUGUAGCAACUAGUCUGGUAGAAACUCCAGGACAUAAAGGUUUAAAAGGGAAAUAAGCAAAGUCCAUGCUCCGUAAUGAUAAACACGCAUUUAUCUGUGUCCGUGUCUGUGGGUGGAUUUAUCAAAAGAUGGAAAAGAAGCAUUGCAAUCUGCAAGCGUCCGUGUGUCCAGAAGGACAGGGGGCAAAGGCACUGAUUAGCAGGGGCUGGGACCAGCAUGCAGUGAUACCAUUAUUGUCAAAUGUGUCAAUACUGAUGACUCUUUUUUUUUAAAGCAAGGGACUUGUUGUCAUUUUAACAGGACAAUUUUUGUUUUCCUUGACACUACCUGAUUUACAUCACAGCACCUGGAUCGAAGACUGAAGAGUUUUAGGCGGAGAUGAGAGUCAGCCAGGAGGAACAUUUUUCCAAAGUGCUAAAGAAAGAAAUAAUGAAGUGAACUGGGGAUUUAAAGCCUCAUGUGCUUUGAAAGAGCCCUGUGUCUCCUUUUGACCAGAGAAACGCAGUUCAACUAUCAGAUGCGUGGACCAGUGUAGAUGGUGAUGGGACCUCAGCGACCAAAGCUAGAUCCACAGAUAUAGCCCUGGUGACCUCCAGGUCCUGGUAUGCUGUGAAUGGUGUGGAUGAAGGGCACAAUUUGCAAGUAUUGUACCUCCCUGCUAUAUUGGCCACCUAUUACACAUGAAUGCUUCCUCUCUGCACAGAUAAGGUCUUGUGCUAGGCAUGCAGGUGCUUGCAAACAGCAUGAUUUCACAUAGACUGAAUAUGAGCUUUGCAACAGGGUAGCAGACUCUUCUUUGUAUUCCUACCAUUUUAUUAGUCUACAAAAACUCUACAUAUAUAUACUCUGACCGCUUUAAAAGGCUGUCAUGAGCACUCCUUAGCAAUUUCCUGUGGAAAUAGAAAGACGGAAGGGAAGCAAAUCAUAAAUGCUUAUAUAUGCCUGUUGUCUGGAUAAUCUUUACAUGCAGGAUGAGCUGAAACUCAAAUGCAAAUUCAUGGUGCUUGAUCCAGAGCCAGGGGAAAGCUCCAGUUCAAUUGCUUCAAGGUGCAUCUGAGUAGACAAUUUGAGGUUAACUGAGAUGAAGCCACCGCUAAUUUCACUGAUUGGUUAUAACCUUGGGCGGACUUGAACCUUCUCCCAGAACCAGAAUUUCAGCUGAAACACACUGGCAGCCUGUACUGCAGCAGAAGGGUGAACUCUCCAAGCAAAAUACUCUAGCUGGUGGGACCUUGCAGAAGCCGGAGUUUUAAGACAAAUGCACAAAGGCUUCCUUCAAACAAUGAGAUACUUGCUUCAUCUAAUGAAAUAGUUUCUGAUGAAGACAAGGCUUUUAUGGAGAUACAAAUCAGCUUGGAAGUUUCUGAGAAUACAGUUUCCAACCCAUGGGAAAUUUGAUUUAUAUAUAGAAGCAGAGGCAUAACUAACACUUAAGAAAAAUGCAGUAGCAGCUAUCACCUCCCUGUGAGUUUCCCUUCACAUGCUUGACAGUCCUCCUGAAGACACCCACCAUGUUCUCUGUUUUGGAUGCUACUUAUAUGUACACAGUGAUGCUUUGCUGGCUCUUGUACAGUCAACAAGCAAGGUUAUUUGGGACAUAGCUGGGCCUCUUCACAAAAGCCAUUUGCAACCUUUCCUGCCUUUAGCUGGGGUCAUCCUUUGCUGAUGAGGUUGACUUGGGUGCUGCCUCUUCUAGGAGCAAGGGAGCUGGCCUUUGUGUGCCCUCCCACCCCUUUUCUGCCCGUACAAAUGAUGUGUGAGCUAGGAUGUUCCACACUAUCACAGGCUGAAUUGUUAAUGCUCCCUUUAAAUGUUGUGGCCUGAGACUUGCCAACAAACCCAGAGCCUCACAGGACUCCCUUUUUCGCCUGACACCCCUGUCCCAUCCAUUCUGCUCCUCUUCCUGGGUGGAGGCAGCCGUAUUUGCCCUGCUCUGCAUGUCUCUGGCCUCCCUUCUUAUGGCUCUGGUACCAACUCAGACCUAAAGGUUAGGCUCAGCUCACCAGAUGGGUGUGAUUGGUAAGAGGAUUAGGUAAAUCCCAUGUUAGCAAAUGCAGGGGAGAGCGGAUACAGUCGAAGUGGGUGCCAGGUUUAUGUUGAAUUCAUCUCCACCCAGGAUGUAGACAGCACCCUACAAUUAGCCAGGUUAAUCCUUCCCACUAGGGUUUUCAGAACUCUUUCCCAAGUUGGGACAUCUUUGUUGAGGAAAGCCAUGGCAUAAGAAACCAGGCUGUGGAUUUGAAGCCCUAGCUAUCCUGCUCUAGCUCUUCGCACUGUGGCUUUUGCAUGAGGAAUCUUUUGUGUGGAUUAGUUUAAUAACCUUCCAAAAUAAACUAAAGCUGAGAGAAACCUGUGGUGUGGAAUAAAGAACUAGCAUAGAGCCAUUAUGGGGGAGCUCAUCUGUGCAGAGCCACCUUUGCAAGUUAAACUAGACUAACCAAAGGGGUGAAUUUAAAGUGGGCUCAUUAAGCUGGGUCAAAGUGAGUGAAGCUACAUAGAAAUAAAGUUGUUUUAAUUAUUACUCAUAGUGUCAACACAGCGAUUUAAUGUGGUUUAAGAACGGUGGUAAGAAUGUGCCCCCAUGCAAAGCAAAGCACAAAGUCUAUAAGGAUAGGAAAAUGUUUUAGGGUAGAGGACACAAAUGGCCCCAGGGCCCUGGUGGACAACAGUGCCAGAGCUGUAUCAUUUCUCCAUAAGGUUAUUUAGUCAGAUGUAGUCAUUCCCUACCCUGCCUCUAUGGAGUCUAGAUUUCUUCUGCAAGGCUGGGGGUCCUCUGUCUGUGAAAUAGCAGGAGCCUCCAGGACACAACACCGCUUUGUUAAAAGGGAAAGGGGAAAGAGGGCAAUUUCUGGAGCUGCCUCGCUGCUGUGUGCAACCAUUUCUGAUCAUGAUAUCACUAUGUUUUUCUGCAUUGACUUGUCACUCAGAAACAAAUCAAAUCACCAGCCGGGCGAGCUCCCUGCCUCUGUAGGCUGGGUUGUAAAAGAGGCUGCUUAUGUCAGAGAUUUGCUCUGUUUUGGGCUUGUGCGAAUUGCUGUGUCACCGUUUCAUUGUGGCUCCAUGUUUUGAAAUAUGCUCUGCAGCUGCUGCUCCUUCUCCUGUUUUAUUUGGAGUGAAGCUGCAAGGAGUCAUCGCGGGCCAUUUUCAGUGUUCUUCCUUUGUGGCAGUUUGCCCGAGAAUGAGAUGAGUCACAGGCAGGUUAUAUGUCCUGUCCAUGUGAGUGUGAAUUAGAGGGAAGGCUCCAAGAUUACUGUUGAUUUUCUCUCUGAAUGGCCCACUGAACUGUGCAUUUCACGGGGGCUGGAGGCUGGGAUGGCCUUCUAGCCCUGUGAGUCCUAGUUAAAGGGGGAUGAGCUAUUGUGUUCUCCUCUGCCAGCUGGUAGCAAAACCUGUUAGGUCUGCCUGACCUGCCAAAUUGUUAGGGUUCAAAUGGAUUAGGAAAGGAACGUCAGAAAAUGUUCCCAGCAUAUGGAUGCCUCAUGGCCUUGCAGCAAACUAUGUGUCACGGAGAGAGGUAUGUGCAAUCAGGGAUAGAAUAGGAGAUAAUGGAAGUAUUUGCUCCCUUGCUGCAUUCUGAGCCAUGAAAAUUUCUGUUUCUAAAUGAAACCAAGGAGUGAUUAACUAUUGGGAGUUACAAUCCAGCCUCCAGAGUAUUGCACAUAGUCUCAGGGAGUUCAGACUGUCUUGGAUGAUCAGGGAAAAGGGAGAUCAGUUUUGUGAGAGGAGCUUGUGGAUCACCAAGGCUGAAAGAUGCUCCAAUGGCUCUUUGUAAGUACACUGGGGCAUAAGAGGCAUUUAUGGUAAAAAAUAGUGCUAAUGGAAGAUCAGAUGGGAAUAAAUUGGACAUGGGCAUCUUUGGGCUGGGAAGGAAAAUAAUAUUUCUAAGCCUCAGGGACAUCCUAGGAAAGCUUUCCAAUGAGAGGCACCAAACCUAUUUCAAUGUGGAACGGGUAAAGUUGAGAAAGGGACUGCACGAUAGUGAAAGAGAUGAAAAUAGGCUGGAUGAGACUUUGGGAUUUGUUGAUAUCUCCAGCAAGGCAUUGCAAAGGGGUGAUCAUUGCUGUCAUUUUCGCUUUGCUACACACUAUUCUCACAGUUUUGAAUUAUUCCCAUGUUUCAGAGUUUCUGCCAGGAGGAAGGAAACCUUUCCUCCUUGAUGCGGAACUUGGCUUUAGGUUUGUUUUGUUUUGGGGGCUCUUUUCUCUCCGUUCUCUGGAAGCAGUGUACUGGCCUAAGUGAAAAGAGGCUGUUGUGGGGGGGGGACAAGCGCUCCACUUGUGCUCUUAAUGGGAAAGAGAAAUAGUUUGGGUGCCCUCCUUGCUUAUGCAUCCAGGUUUUAUCCCACAGUCAGAUACAGUGUCAGAAAGGAACUGGGCUGGGUCCUUCCUUCUCUGUAGCAUAAGGGUGACAUCAUCCGACAGGGACCCAAAACCUUGGCAACACUUUUGCUGUCUUCUGCUUUUUUGCAACAGCACAUUGUUGUUUGAGGCAUUCGAUCCUUUGUAUUAAAAAUUUCACCUUGA
Long non-coding RNA from Dromaius novaehollandiae (emu), 6084 nucleotides. RefSeq lists it as uncharacterized. The record is from RefSeq and is a predicted model, not a curated record. NCBI's taxonomy places the organism in Eukaryota, Metazoa, Chordata, Aves, Casuariiformes, Dromaiidae. The transcript has 2 exons.